GGCAGUGUGGCUCAGUGGAAAGAGCUUGGGCUUCGGAGUCAGAGGUCAUGAGUUCAAAUCCCAGAUCUGCCA
RNAcentral lists this transfer RNA (72 nucleotides) under Ornithorhynchus anatinus (platypus). It matches the Rfam family "tRNA". Rfam says of the family: Transfer RNA (tRNA) molecules are approximately 80 nucleotides in length. Their secondary structure includes four short double-helical elements and three loops (D, anti-codon, and T loops). The record is from Rfam by way of RNAcentral. Lineage: Eukaryota; Metazoa; Chordata; Mammalia; Monotremata; Ornithorhynchidae.